GACGACCGCUGGCGGCGUGCUUAACACAUGCAAGUCGAACAGCGAUGGACGGGUGAGUACUGUCUGGGAAACUGCCUGAUGGAGGGGGAUAACUACUGGACACGGUAGCUAAUACCGCAUACCAUCAGAUGUGCCCAGAUGGGAUUAGAUGGUAGGUGGGGUAACGGCUCACCUAGGCGACGAGCCCUAGCUGGUCUGAGUGGAUGACCAGCCACACUGGAGCUGAGACACGGUCCAGCCUCCUACGUGAGGCAGCAGUUGGAACUAUUGCACAAUGGGCGCAAGCCUGAUGCAGCCAUGCGGCGUGUGUGAAGAAGGCCUUCGGGUUGUAAAGCACUUUCAGCGAGUAGUCGUUACCCGCAGAGGAAGCACCGGCUACCUCCGUGCCAGCAGCCGCGGUAAUAC
RNAcentral lists this ribosomal RNA (405 nucleotides) under uncultured bacterium. Its description in RNAcentral is "partial 16S ribosomal RNA". It matches the Rfam family "Bacterial small subunit ribosomal RNA", at positions 28 to 526 of the family's 1533-position model. The record is from RNAcentral.